GACAGAGGAUGCAAGCGUUAUCCGGAAUGAUUGGGCGUAAAGCGUCUGUAGGUGGCUUUUUAAGUCCGCCGUCAAAUCCCAGGGCUCAACCCUGGACAGGCGGUGGAAACUACCAAGCUGGAGUACGGUAGGGGUAGAGGGAACUCCGCGUGGAGCGGUGAAAUGUGUAGAGAUGCGGAGGAACACCAGUGGCGAAGGCGCUCUACUGGGCCGAGACUGACACUGAGAGACGAAAGCUAAGGGAGCGAAAAGG
This 253-nucleotide ribosomal RNA is filed under the name uncultured bacterium. Its description in RNAcentral is "partial 16S ribosomal RNA". It matches the Rfam family "Bacterial small subunit ribosomal RNA", at positions 524 to 776 of the family's 1533-position model. The record is from RNAcentral.